Molecule: long non-coding RNA, 2995 nt
Organism: Mya arenaria
Lineage: Eukaryota; Metazoa; Mollusca; Bivalvia; Myida; Myidae
Exons: 6
Source: RefSeq, a predicted model, not a curated record
UAAGGCGACAAAAAUUGGUCUCCUUAAUAUUUUCAGUCCAGAUUUGAUGUAUCAAAUGUCAAUAAAAAUGUCCAUUGACAGUAAGUUGAUAAGCUUGAAUGUUUAUUUACGAGAUAAUUUCAUUGUUUUAAAUCUUAUUAUCUUUUAAUAUUAAAAAAAAUAUUCUUAAACUUUUGUGUGUGUAUAUUUGUGUAUCCAUAAAAAUAGCUAUUAAGGCGACCAGGGAAAAAAUCAUAAUUUUGGUCAAAAAUAGCUAUAUACUAAGCAUUUUUUAUUUGUUUUACUUUAUUUAAAGCCUAUUGUAUAUUAUCCCGAAGUUUCAUUCCAUAAAAAACAGAAAUAAGGAAAUUCGAUAUUUCGUGUACCAUCAGCAUCCAAAUUUUCAAGUAUACAGAAAUUUAACUUUCCGGAAUAUAACGGAAAUUUUCGGGUAUCUCCGUGGUACCAUCUCCGUGCAAUUAUGCAGUAUGGCGUUCAUCUCUUACGGAAAGAGAAUGGUAACUUGUUGCUGCUUGGGACAAUAAAGUUAAGUCAGCAACCGUCUACCAGACUGCAAGAUUCAUCUCUUCCAAAGGAUGUUGUACCUUUCCAGAUACACUGUGUUUUGUGUGGAUAAGAAAUGCAGAGUGGUACCUCCAAUCACCUAAUGGGGACAGUUCCUGCAAUUUACAGAAAAGCUCUCAAUUGUAGCCCUACGAACUUCAGAUACUGCCGAUGGUGAAGCUUGGGUGCACUGGGCCGGUUUUCCAGCCGUGUGGAAUCAACAUCUCCAGCUGAACUGGGGCCGGGAAUUAUAUAAGACUCCUUAGCAGCAUGAGUGCCAGCCAGUCAUUGCUGUUCUUUGCAUUGCUGAGGAGGACAGUCCUGCCAACAUAACAGUUUGUUCAAUAACAGGUGAUGGUUGGGCACACACAAGAAGACAUAGAUCACAGGUGUCUAGCCAUAUGAGUAGAUAGGAGUGUCACAAUCUGCCAAACGUACUUCAUCAGACGAGCAGAAAGCUUCUCAAGAUCCCGCACUGCACACUAAGACAUAGUCUUUGACUACAACAAGGUGAUGAAAGUACAGAGAGGUCCAAUUGAAAUCAAUUCUGUGCUGCUGUCAUUUCUUCAUUCUGGAAGUCGAUGGACAUGAUUUAUCAUGGCAUCAAGUGUGCAGUUUGCCGACUACCAGCAGUCUUGUUCACCAGCUGUGCAACUUGAGCUGGUAGCUUUAUUGCUUGAAGCCACUGCAUAAGAGGGGGAAGGUGCAGGCUCAUCAAAAAGUCUCAAAAGUUGAAACUAGGAAAAGAAGUUUAUCAAGAGUGUGAAUCUAUUUUGAAAACAAUCGUAAACAUACUAUGAAUUGAGAUGCUUAAAUAAAAAACCGCUAUUCAAAUAUCAGGAAACUGCCUUUUUCAUACUAAAGGGUAAAUGAUGUCGCCAUUUCCUGUAUAUAUUUAAAUAAGAUAUGUCUCCACAAUUAAUAUUUUUAGGGAAUUUUUCUCAACCUAAUGAAUGAGAUUAAAUUGUACAGUGUUAUAUGAGCUUAAUAUGUGUUUUCUCAUUCUUUAAAAUUGGUGAAAAAUUGUCAGAAGAUAAUUAGACCAGUAUCCAUUACUGCAAUCAUACAAUCAAAUAUACAGGGACAAGCCCACUGGGCAUAUGAUAUAAUUAAACCCUGUUUAGGGGCACGAGGCAAACACUUUCAAACGUUAAAGCUGCACUCUCACACUUGGGAUGUUUUGACAACCUUUUUCAUUUUAUGUCUUGGAUUGGAACCAUCCAAUUUUUGCGAAAAAUUAAAUCCCAGAUUUUUCUAUUUAAGUUAAAACAUUGAUGUUUUUUAUGCACUUUUCUUAAACCGUUAGUAAAUAUUAAUUUUCGAACGGAAAUAUGAAAUCUGCGAUCUGAUCUUUUGUCAGCAAUCUUUUAUCAUUGGUUUGCAGAUAAUUACGCCAAAACUUGCUCAUUCCAAGACAAAAAAAGUUGUGGAAACGGUAUAUCUGUGAGAGUGCAGCUCUAAAUGUUUAAUUGCUUGAUUUUACUACUGUAUUAGAAAUUACAGGGAUUGGGGCAUAUUUUUAGUGUUUUUAUUGCUUGUUUUUGAUUCAUACAGUCAUACUUUAUUCUUCAGGGCACAACUUACAAAUAGACAAAACUGGAAAAUGGUCAUAUCAAAAGGUCAAAGAUAAUGCAAGUUGAACAAUCAUAUUGUUCAUGGCUUGUAUUUUUGGUAUAUUUUGUUGCAUAUGCUAUAGAAAAGUUGAAAGUUAAAAAUAAAUUCUUAGUUGAAAUGAUGGCUUUGAAUGGUAUUGUCAGAUGAGAAACGGCACUAUUAAGAAAUAGGUAUAAUGGUUCUUUAUUUAUUUUCAUCAAUUUUAGAUAUUAUGAAAAUUAUUAUCUUAUUUAGUACAUGAGACCUUUUAAACAGUUAUUGACAAUAUAACAAUGUGUAUAUGAAGCUUUAGAUCAACACUUAAAGCUGCACUCUUACAGAUUGUCAGUUUAGACACAAACUUGUCUCAAAAUCGGCUGAUUUGGUUAUCAUUCCUUUAAUUCAGUCAUAUUAGAUAAUUCACGAUAGAACCAAUCAAAAAUGUUUGGUAAAACUGCCGAAAAGUUCAUUUACAUUAAAUUGUUCGUAAUGCUUUUAGUCAUUGUUCGUAAUGCUUUUAGUCAUAAAACAUCAUUUUUUUAACAUAAAUAUGAUGAACUGCAAUAUGAUCUUUUUUCAGCAGUCUUAUAUCACUUCAAAUUGGGUCUAGACAUUUCUGCAAAAAAUACUCCAUUUAUAGACAAACAAUAAAAGAGUACCAGCAGUCAAAACGAUCAAUCGGUGAGAUUGCAGCUGAAAUACACCUUUUAAGACCGCUGUAAAAUUCCAAUGGUUUGCCUAAAUCUUUAAAGCUAGCAUACUGUUUAAUUGACAACCAUACUUAUUGUUUAAAAGUGUCAUGAUAUCUUUGUACAAUGUUUUUAUAUAAUUCAUUAAAGAAGUGAAAACAAAUUUGUUU